UACGUAGGUGGCAAGCGUUGUCCGGAAUUAUUGGGCGUAAAGCGCGCGCAGGCGGUCUCUUAAGUCUGAUGUGAAAGCCCACGGCUCAACCGUGGAGGGUCAUUGGAAACUGGGGGACUUGAGUACAGAAGAGGAAAGCGGAAUUCCACGUGUAGCGGUGAAAUGCGUAGAGAUGUGGAGGAACACCAGUGGCGAAGGCGGCUUUCUGGUCCAGCACCGACGUUCAGGCACGAAAGCGUGGGGAGCAAACAGG
This 253-nucleotide ribosomal RNA is filed under the name uncultured bacterium. RNAcentral describes it as "partial 16S ribosomal RNA". It matches the Rfam family "Bacterial small subunit ribosomal RNA", at positions 524 to 776 of the family's 1533-position model. The record is from RNAcentral.